This 1673-nucleotide non-coding RNA is filed under the name Pongo abelii (Sumatran orangutan). Lineage: Eukaryota; Metazoa; Chordata; Mammalia; Primates; Hominidae. The record is from RNAcentral.
GACCAUUUCCCACAAUCUUUUAUUAAGAAAACUUCCAAACAUACAGAAAAGUUGAAAGAACAAGCACACUGUUCACUGAAAUACCAGCCACUGCAGAUUCAACAAUGAACAUUUUGGCCUUAUUUGCUUUGUGUAUUUUGGGGGGAACCAUUUGGAAUUAAAUUACACAUUUCUUGAAGGCAUUCACCUAUAUAAUCCAGCAUCUAUCUCCUAAGAAUGAGGACAUUUUCCCAUGAACCUCAGUGCCAUUAAAUGGCUAUUAGAGGAAUGGUUGGUCUUUGUGAGGGUCUCAUGUCCAGGAACCUCAACAAAGUGUGCUAGGCCCUUAGCAGAGAGGGUAGAACCUGCUUGCCGGCUCCCUCACGUUCUCUCCCAUCCCAGAAAGGCAGAAGCAGGAGGUGCUGUGAAUAGAACAGUGCCCUUUGUGGUGACAAAGCUAUGGGGAGCCUGCUGUGCAUGUGCCAGGACCUGCAGGGCAGCUGCCCUGGCCCCCACAGGGACCUCUGAGCUGCACGGUUUCGUCCCCGCUUCACAUGUGAAAAAUCUGAAGUUCAGAUGAAGUCGUUUCCCCAAGAUUAUUCUGCCAAGUAGGAGAGCCUGAAUGCACAGUCUAGAGCCCACGUUCCUGCCGCCGACUCACAAUAGCCCCAAGGUCUUCACCCCAGACGGGUCCCGCGCUGAGGCCCAGGCUCUGAACCACCGAGUCUUCUUUAGAGUUUCUCCGCUGGCCCUGGCUCACGUUUGCCCACUGGCCUGUUGUGAACGCCCUUGCACAGAGUAGGUGCUUCUGGAAGCAUCUGAUGGAGGGUGACUGCGGAGCCAGGGGCUGUGGCAGCAGGGGGAUGGUCCAGCACAUCAGGCGGGCCUGAGAAGGGUCAGAGCAGAGAGGUGGUGGAGUCGUCUCCCUCCAGAGCUUUCCUUCGCUGGCUCUGCAGGAGGCUCUGGAAUGCUGCUCCGGGAGCCCGCUGGGCACGGGGACACAGGCCAGGCCUGCACUGCUGCUCCCUGCCCCGAGCUGCCCGCCCAGCCCGCAUUUUGCCAACUUUUGUGAGCCUGAGCAGUUGGUUCUGGUUCAAGGGCUCUGAGCUGGCACAGCCCCAAACCAGGGCCUCUUCCUGGGCCUCAAUGAAGCAUGCCCGUGAGUCAGCACUGAGACGCAAACUGAACAACAGGCAGGGCGAGUGGAACGUGGGAUGGGGAGCAAAGGCUGGAAGGAGGGGGACUGGGCCCACACCUGGAAGAACCCACAUCCUUGCAGCCUCCGGUGGCUGCAACAUCUUGGCCCCUGCAGAGCUUUUCAGAGGUCCGGCACAAUGACUCCACAGAGGAGGGCUGACUGGUUCCAUGAUGCUUAAGAGGUUAGGAAGCUUGUAGGAGGCACGCCUGACUUGCCACUCUCCCUCCACCCAGGCCUGACUGUCUGAGGACCAAUUCACACACCUGGAGCCCCGAGUAGCAGCCUGAAGGAAUGCUAAGGAGGUAGGUGAGGGAGUGGGGGGCAGGCCCUUGCCCCCAUUUCUUGAUUGUAUAACAACACUUCAUUAAAAUAAAAUCACACAGUGCCAUCUUUUAUUAGACAUUUUAAUACCAUAUCAAAACACCUUGACUAAUGAAGAAAGCUUUUCUCCCAAGCUUUGAACAUUUUUUUAAACAUUUUAUAAGUUUUUUUUGUA